CUACGGGACGCUGCAGUGAUUAAUCUUUCACAAUGGGGGGAACCCUGAUGCAGCAACGCCGCGUGGAGGAUGACGCAUUUCGGUGUGUAAACUCCUUUUAUAUGUCAAGAAAAUGACGGUAGCAUAUGAAUAAGCACCGGCUAACUCCGUGCCAGCAGCCGCGGUAAUACGGAGGGUGCAAGCGUUACUCGGAAUCACUGGGCGUAAAGGACGCGUAGGCGGGUUGGAAAGUCAGGUGUGAAAUCCUACAGCUUAACUGUAGAACUGCACUUGAAACUUCUAAUCUAGAGUAUGGGAGGGGGAGAUGGAAUUAGUGGUGUAGGGGUAAAAUCCGUAGAUAUCACUAGGAAUACCUAAAGCGAAGGCGAUCUCCUGGAACAUUACUGACGCUAAGGCGUGAAAGCGUGGGGAGCAAACAGGAUUAGAUACCCUAGUAGUC
Molecule: ribosomal RNA, 439 nt
Filed under: uncultured bacterium
Lineage: Bacteria
Description: partial 16S ribosomal RNA
Rfam family: Bacterial small subunit ribosomal RNA
Source: RNAcentral